CGUGGCUAACCUGCCUUAGGAUCGGAAUACCCCCGGGAAACUGGGGCUAAUUCUCAAUAGGUGAAGAACUCUGGAAUGAGUCUUCACUGAAAAGGCGCUAGAGUUAUGCUCUUUGGCGCCGCCCAAGGAUGGGGCCGCGACCGAUCAGGUUGUUGGUGAGGUAAUGGCUCACCAAGCCUUUUACCGGUGCGGGCCGUGGGAGCGGGAGCCCGGAGAUGGGCACUGAGACAAGGGCCCAGGCCCUACGGGGCGCAGCAGUCGCGAAAACUUUGCAAUAAGCGAAAGCUUGACAGGGCUAUCCCGAGUGCCAUCCGCUGAGGAAGGCUUUUACCCAGUCUAGAACGCUGGGGGAAUAAGGAGAGGGCAAGUCUGGUGUCAGCCGCCGCGGUAAUACCAGCUCUCCGAGUGGUGUGGAUGUUCAUUGGGCCUAAAGCAUCCGUAGCUGGCUAGGUUAGUCCCCUGUUAAAUCCACCGAAUUAAUCGUUGGAUUGCGGGGGAUACUGCUUGGCUAGGGGACGAGAGAGGCAGACGGUAUUUCCGGGGUAGGGGUGAAAUCCUAUAAUCCCGGGAAGACCACCAGUGGCGAAGGCUGUCUGCUAGAACGCGCCCGACGGUGAGGGAUGAAAGCUGGGGGAGCGAACCGGAUUAGAUACCCGGGUAGUCCCAGCUGU
RNAcentral lists this ribosomal RNA (671 nucleotides) under uncultured archaeon. Its description in RNAcentral is "bacterial SSU rRNA". It matches the Rfam family "Archaeal small subunit ribosomal RNA", at positions 99 to 754 of the family's 1478-position model. The record is from RNAcentral.